RNAcentral lists this unclassified non-coding RNA (292 nucleotides) under uncultured Meliniomyces. Its description in RNAcentral is "sequence contains ITS1". The stretch from base 1 to 105 matches the Rfam family "5.8S ribosomal RNA", at positions 50 to 154 of the family's 154-position model. Lineage: Eukaryota; Fungi; Ascomycota; Leotiomycetes; Helotiales; Helotiaceae. The record is from RNAcentral.
GAAAUGCGAUAAGUAAUGUGAAUUGCAGAAUUCAGUGAAUCAUCGAAUCUUUGAACGCACAUUGCGCCCUCUGGUAUUCCGGAGGGCAUGCCUGUUCGAGCGUCAUUACAACCCUCAAGCUCUGCUUGGUAUUGGGCCGCGGGCGUCAGCCCGGGCCUUAAAAUCAGUGGCGGUGCCACCUGGCUCUGAGCGUAGUACAUCUCUCGCUAUAGAUGCCCGGUGGAUGCUUGCCAUAACCCCCAAUUUUUUAAUGGUUGACCUCGGAUCAGGUAGGGAUACCCGCUGAACUUAA